RNAcentral lists this ribosomal RNA (434 nucleotides) under uncultured Ruminococcus sp. RNAcentral describes it as "partial 16S ribosomal RNA". It matches the Rfam family "Bacterial small subunit ribosomal RNA", at positions 341 to 792 of the family's 1533-position model. The record is from RNAcentral. Lineage: Bacteria; Bacillati; Bacillota; Clostridia; Eubacteriales; Oscillospiraceae.
ACGGGAGGCAGCAGUGGGGAAUAUUGCACAAUGGGGGGAACCCUGAUGCAGCGAUGCCGCGUGGAGGAAGAAGGUUUUCGGAUUGUAAACUCCUGUCUUAAAGGACGAUAAUGACGGUACUUUAGGAGGAAGCUCCGGCUAACUACGUGCCAGCAGCCGCGGUAAUACGUAGGGAGCGAGCGUUGUCCGGAAUUACUGGGUGUAAAGGGCGCGUAGGCGGGAUAGCAAGUCAGGUGUGAAAUCUAUGGGCUUAACCCAUAAACUGCACUUGAAACUGUUAUUCUUGAGUGUCGGAGAGGUAGAUGGAAUUCCUAGUGUAGCGGUGAAAUGCGUAGAUAUUAGGAGGAACACCAGUGGCGAAGGCGAUCUACUGGACGAUAACUGACGCUGAGGCGCGAAAGCGUGGGGAGCAAACAGGAUUAGAUACCCUGGUA